Hippopotamus amphibius kiboko is the source of this 5176-nucleotide RNA transcript. It is a transcript of the gene named coiled-coil domain containing 61, with no coding region annotated. The transcript is spliced from 15 exons. Lineage: Eukaryota; Metazoa; Chordata; Mammalia; Artiodactyla; Hippopotamidae. The record is from RefSeq and is a predicted model, not a curated record.
CUGUAGGUUUGGGACCAGGCCCAGGAGGCUGCAUUGGCAUCAAGCUCCUGGGUUGAUGCUGAAGGCCUGCGGCCCUCACUUUGAGAAACAGGCCAGUUCAGAGCUUGGGCUGAAACUCUCAUCAUUCAGCUCCUUUUCUGUGGCUGGCCCGGUGCUGGGCCGUGUGGGGGACCCUGUAGUGAUCGAAGCAGCCCUUUACCCAGCCUGGGAGUCAGGGAGGGCUUCCUGAAGAAGGAGACCUUGCAGCUGAGACCUGGAGGAUGACAAGGAAUGAGCUGAGAGGACAAGACCUUGCUUGCAUCUCCAGUGCCUUGAACCCUGUCUCCUGGCAUCGAGCAUUAAGUCACAAGCAGCCCCUGACCUGUGCCAGGCCUAGUGUGCUGAAGAUACAAGAAUGAUCAAAGUGGCUGUGCCCUCAUGGGCUUCUGGUCUGGCAACUAAUCAUCAGCGAGUUGCACAGAUGGUAACAGCUGACUGAGUGCCAGGCACGGUUUGAAGCACCUUAUAUGUAUUGACUAAUUCAAUCCCCACAAUAAUCCUGUGUGAGGUGGGAGCUCUUAUUAUCCCCACUGUGCUGAUGGGGAGAGGCCCAGAGAGGGUAAAUGCCUUGCCGGGGGUCACACUGUAGGUUAGGAUCUGAACCUAGGAGUCCCCAGCCUGCGGCAUGUACUAUGCUUGAGGUGUGAGGUCACAUUUGGAUUUGUGCUGGGAGGGAAAGGAGCAGAGCGUUAUGGGAGGAAAUGGAAGGUAGUCGGGGAAGGGCAGCUGAAUAAGGAGUAGGGGGAUGAACGUGCCAGUCCCUCACUGCAGGAUUCGAGGCAGGAUGUUUCAUCCUCUGUAAAAUGAGGGCUGGUUACAGUACCUACCGGAGAGCAGAAUUAAGGGUGACUCACUGGAUGGUGGGCGUGCAUGGUCCUUAUCUAAGGCAAAAAGCAUUUGAGGGACAGUGGGGGAGGCGCUUCUGAUACCCCAGGGGGUGGUGAUGGGCUACAGUGUGCACUAUGGAGGUCUGGAUCGUGGGGUGUCCUAAAGGGUUUGGGGGGUCUCUGCAUUCCAGGGGGAUCGUGUGGAAGGCUUUGGUCUGUGUUUUGGAGGAGUGCAGGGCUCCAUCCGGCCCCAGUUCACCCACGUGGUGGGAGGGGUUGCCGUGAACUCGAAAAGGGGGCUAGGAGCGGUCACUCAGGCCAGGCCACGUGUGUGAAUGUGAGGUGGGGUGUACGCUGUUUUGGAUACUCUAGCUAGGUCAAUGGCUGGCGGGACUAUUUGGUGCUGGGGGCGGGGUGGGGUCAGAUAGUGGGAAAACAGCCCUCAGGGGUGGGAGCUGCUAGAAGCAGUGAUUUACCCGUGUCUGGUGUGGGAAAUGGUGAUAUGGAUUUGUUUUGGGGGAGCCCAGCGUGGAGAAUUGUCAGCUCCGGAGCUGGGGGGAGGGCUGUGAAAUCUGAAAUUUCCGGGGAGCACAAUUUGGAAGGAGGAGCCAGGGGUAGUGAUGUAACACUGGAAAUGGAGAGGGGGCGUCGCCUUAGUGAACGAUGAGAGGGCUGGAGGUUGGAAAACUGUGUGCGCGCGCGCGCGUGCACUGGAGCCAUGAUGUCAUGAGACCGGAGAAAUGGGGUCGGGUGUGCGGACCAGAGCGGGGCGCUCGGGAGUCCACACCGAGCGCUCAACAAGGUGGAAGUGCUGACGUCACGGGUUGGCAGCGGCGGGGCCUCAAAGGCCCGGCAUCCUGGCUGUGUUGCUGGGGUCAAGAAGCUGAGGCGAAGAGGAGCUGGGAGAGCCUUGGGACUGGAACAAAACCAGCAACCAGGAUGGGCCACUUGUCGGCGGUCACAGAGCGCUGGUUGGAGUCACAGAGCAAGGAUGGAGGAUGCAGCAACACUGGCCAUGGACCAGCCAGCCGGCCUGCAGGUGGACUACCUCUUCCGGGGUGUGGAGCAUGCUGUGCGGGUGAUGGUGUCUGGGCAGGUGCUAGAGCUGGAGGUGGAGGACCGGAUGACGGCCGACCAGUGGCGGGGAGAGUUCGAUGCCAGCUUCAUUGAAGAUUUGACUCACAAGACAGGGAACUUCAAACAGUUCAACAUCUUCUGUAACAUGCUGGAGUCAGCCCUCACCCAGAGCAGUGAGUCGGUCACCCUUGACCUGCUGACCUACACAGAUCUGGAGUCCCUGCGGAACCGAAAGAUGGGGGGCCGCCCAGGCCCCUUGGCCUCGAGAUCAGCCCAGCUCAACUCCAAGCGCUACCUGAUCCUCAUCUACUCUGUGGAGUUUGACAGGAUUCACUACCCGCUGCCCCUCCCGUACCAGGGCAAGCCGGACCCUGUGGUCCUGCAGGGCAUCAUUCGCUCACUAAAGGAGGAGCUGACCCGCCUUCGAGGGCUGGAUGGCCAGGAUGCUCGGGACAGUCGGGAAACUGAGAUCUGGCACCUGCGGGAGCAGGUGUCGCGCUUGGCGGCUGAGAAGCGCGAGCUGGAGGCCCAGCUAGGCAGAUUGCGAGAGGAGGCGCUGGCCGGGCGGGCGGCGCGCCAGGAGGUCGAGGCACUGCGCGGGCUCGUGCACGGCUUGGAGCUGGAGUUGCGGCAAGAGCGCGGCCUCGGGCACCGCGGGUCCGGCCGCCGAAGCCAGGAUUGCCGCCGCCUGGCCAAGGAGCUCGAGGAGGUGAAGGCGUCGGAGCGGAGCCUGCGUGCCCGGCUGAAGUCCCUGAACACCGAGCUGGCCAUGUACAAGAGGGGGAGACGGACUCCGCCGGUGGCGCCGCCCUCGGCCCGGGAAGAUCGGGCUUCGACCUCCCGGGAACGCUCCUCGUCGCGUGGCCGUGGCGCCGCGCGUUCUUCAUCCCGAGAGAGUGGCCGCGGGGGCCGGGGUCGAGGCCGCCCUACCCGCCCCUCGCCCUCGCCCACAGGUGGUCGCGUGCCGCGUUUCGACUCAACAGCCUUUGUGAAAGCCAAGGAGAAGAAGCAGAGAGACAUCAAGAUGAAUUGGGCGCACAGGUGGGCGUCUCCUUUCUCGUUCCCCAGGCAGCAGCAGCAGCAGCGGAACCGAUUGGGCAGCGGAGGAAGCGGGGACGGUCCAUCCAUCUCCUGGUCUCGCCAGACUCGGCCCCCCGCAGCCGUGACCGGUCGAGGAGACGCGGCUAACCGCUCCCGAAACCGCAGCUCCUCGGUGGACAGUUUCCGCAGCCGCUACUCGUCCGCCAGCUCCUGCAGCGAGUUGGAAGAUUUCUCCGAAUCCCUCCCUAGAGGCGUUCGCCGCCGGGGGAAGCCGCGCAGCCCCACCACCUGGAGUGUGUCCAAUGCGCAGCAGAAGUCUACCCCCCUGGAACGCGGCCGCCAUCAGAGACGCCUGGCCAAUUCAGGGGGCUGGGUCCCCAUCAAAGAGUACAGCUCGGACCACCAGGCGGCUGACAUGGCCGAAAUAGACGCCCGCCUGAAGGCCUUGCAGGAAUACAUGAACCGACUGGAUACACGGUCGUGACCUCGGAGAGGGACUCCUGCCGCUCCAACCCCACCCACCGCUGGAUUCGGCGUGGGGGGCGGGGCCGGUGUGUCUUUCUGGCCCCGCCCCGGCCCCGCCCCUCCUGGUGCUCUUGGGGUCUCAGGGAUUUCUCCCGGGCCCAAGUCCGAUGUCAUUUAACCCUUGCAGCAAACUGAAGAGGUGAGUAUCGGGAAACCCAUUUCACAGUUGAGUAAACUGAGGCUGGAAGAGGGCUAGUCAUGUUGCUGACACAUGGAGGAUAGUAGAGCCUAAGGGUCCAGAGCCCCCAUUCAGAGCCAGGCUGCUUGCUUUUGAAUUCUGGUGACAGUCCAGUGUGUGAGCUUGGGCAAGUGACUUAACCCUUCUGUGCCUCAGUUUUCCCCACCUGCAAAAUGGGGCUGAUACUAUAAAGUACCUAACUCAUGGGUUGAUCCCUUAGAAGAUGUCUGGCUCUCAGUGCCACGUAAACAUCACUGGGAUUUGACCUCCAAUCUGCCCUUGGUAGUAAGCUACAUGCUUCACAUAUGUGCUGCUGGCAGCUCCAUUCUGCACAGGAGGAAAUCUGAGGUCCAGAGAGGAAUAGCUAUUGCUUAGCACCACUCAUUGGCUUGGGAUCACCUAUCGGGGCAGAAGACUUUCCAGGGCACUCUGCCCUGCCCAGGUCUCCUUUCCCACUAGAGGCACCUGGUGAGUUCAGGGUAGACUGCCUGGUUUGCUUUUCCUCCUUUGCUUCUAUUCUAAUGGAUUAAACAAAAUUUUUCUUUUUAUAAAAGUAACAUAUGCUACACUUUGCUGUACAGCAGAAACUAACACAACAUUGUAAAUCAACUAUGCUCUCAUAAAAAUUUUUUUAAAAAGCGAAGCCAGGACUUCCCUGGUGGUACAGUGGUUAAGAAUUUGCCUGCCAAUGCAGGAGAGAUGGGUUUGAUCCCUGGUCCGGGAAGAUUCCACAUGCCUUGGAGCAAUUAAGCCCAUGUGCCACAACUACUGAGCCUGUGCUCUAGAGCCUGUGAGCCACAACUGUUGAACCCAGGUGCCACAACUACCAAAGCCCAUGUGCCUAGAGCUGGCUCUCAGCAACAAGAGAAGCCACCGCACUGAGAAGCCCGUGCACCACAAUGAAGAGUAGCUCCUGCUUACUGCAAAUAGAGGAAGCCCACGCAGAGCAACAAAGACCCAACGUAGUCAAUAAACAACUAAAUUUAAAAAAUAAAAUAAAAUAAAAAAGUGAAACCAAAUCCGGCCUGUGUACCCCGACACUGAAUUAAAUCUCAGAGACAGAGUUUUGGGUGAAGUAGAAAAGAAUAGCUUCAUUGCUUUGCCAGGCAAAAGGGGCUGUAGCAGGCUAAUACCCUCAAAACUGUGUGUCCCAACUUGGAGAGGGUAGUGAGAAUUUUUAUAGUAAUUGUUCAAAGAGGGUGUGAUCAGCUCUUGGACAUUCUUCUGAUUGGUUGAUGGCGAGGUAAGUAAGAGUCAGCAUCCUCAACCUUCAGGUUCCAACUUGUCUGGGGUCUACGUCAGGAUUUGCAAAACAGCGCAAAGAUAUUGCUGUGUGUAUUGAUGGGGAACCAGGACCUUGCCCCAAGGCUGCACUAUUGUUUCUCUUAACUGUUUCUCCCUUGUCUUCAGCCCCUUUCUUCCCUAAUUAACAACUGCUUGAAUCUGCCUGUUGGAACUCAGGGAAGGUCAAGGAGGCUGAGUAAAGGCU